AUUCAUCGAUAUGUAACCCUGAUCGAAAAGUCCCAACCAGUGGGACUCUUGACCCCGGUACCCAUAAUGUGUGGAACUCGUGAUCAGAGAAUCUUGAUUCUCGAUCACUGAGUCCCAAACAUGUAAGAUUCUACAUCAGCCAUCAGAUCAGAUAGGAACCUCUAAUGUGUGUGAUCCCGCAGGUUCGAACCUAAGUCGGUAGCACAGGAACCAAUUCUUGUACUAAUCGAAGUGACCAUCUAGCAAUGGUACCCAACAUUCGGAUAGAUUGAAGAGUCACAAUCGCAACACUCAGAACCUACAUGAAUAUGGUUACUGUAUAAUUCAUCCUUUUGACCCCUGUGUUUAGGAUGACUCAGGGUUAAACUGUCAACCCUGAUCAGAUCAUCCGAAUCGUACUCAACUCAAACAGUCCUGUGACUCCUCACAAGGACUACCCUGACCAAGGUUUUGCUAAAUUAAA
RNAcentral lists this long non-coding RNA (463 nucleotides) under Elaeis guineensis (African oil palm). Its description in RNAcentral is "long non-coding RNA (EGUI_LNC063154)". Lineage: Eukaryota; Viridiplantae; Streptophyta; Magnoliopsida; Arecales; Arecaceae. The record is from RNAcentral.